AAAAAUGCCAGAUGCUACACAUUCUUGGGUGACUAAAACUAUGAAUCUCAAGGGAUGCAGGGCUAAGUAUCUACAGAACUAUUCCUAUAUGGCAUACACUAGUUCAGAUAAUAGAGGAAGAGGUAGUGGUUGGGCCCUUUGGUUUGAUAAUCUGAUUGAUUGCAGACAAUUUGAAUCAAAAGGGCAGGAUCUAUAUGUUAAGAGUGUCUGCUUCAGAAUCAGGUAUGAGUCUGCAUUUUCUCUUGUUUUCGCUGCUUUUUUCAUUUUUGUUCAUGUAUGCUUUUCCUUAUCAAAUUUCGCCAUACAGAAUUGAAAGAUAAGCCUAGGAUAAAACUUCCUGCAGUAAUUGCAACACCACUAUGCUGUGCUUUCGGGGUUGUAUACAGUCGGUCAUUACCUUUACAGAGGCAAUGCAAAGUUGAACGGACUUGCUCCUAACCAAACUGAUGAUACAAGGCUACACAUGGAAUGCAGAAAGCCAAGCUUGGAUGCGAUAAGCCAAGGUUGAAGCUUGUUGCAUCUAUUGCAAAACCGCUGUGUUGCACUUUUGGGGCUGUUUAUAAUCAGUUAUUACAUUUACAGAGUCCGCAGAAAGUUGAAAGAGAAACAGAAAACAAUAAGGAAAAUGAUUCAGAAAAUCAAGGCCUGGAUGAAGACUUGGAGCUUGCAAUAUUUGCGCUUGCUACUCAUAGCUUUUCUAUGGACAACAAGCCAGGGGAAGGUGGUUUUGGAGCUGUUUAUAAGGGGCUAGAGAAAACCAUGUGAUAAAGGACAGGAGCACUGAAGGGCAAAGCGAAGACUCAGAAGUCCAGUUAUUCGACUUAUCAUUAGUAUCCGAAGCAAGCAAUGAUUUCUCCAUUGACAACAAACUAGGACAAGGUGGUUUUGGGCAUGCAUACAGGGGUAACCUGGUAGAUGGACAAGAGAUCGCUGUGAAGAGGCUUUCAAGAAGCUCUGGACAAGGUUUAACUGAGUUCAAAAAUGAAGUAGCACUAAUUGCCAAGCUUCAACAUCGAAAUCUUGUAAAGCUCCUGGGAUGUUGCAUUGAAGGAGAGGAAAAGAUGCUGGUUUAUGAAUAUAUGCCAAACAAAAGUUUGGACUUCUUCAAUUUCAGUAUUCAAUCUCUCAAUUAUCCUAUAAAUUCUUUAGGACUAGUUUAUAUCAAAGAGAGAUCCCUUGUUUUAACUUUAAUCCAAUAUUCCGCUUGUAAAGGUUUAGUUAGUAGAUGAACUAAUGUGAUGCCUUCCCUUUUAAAAGAACGAGUUGAUUAAUCCAUGAUUUCUCUGGGUUAGACAUAUUUAUUACUCCAUCAGUCUCAUAUACAA
Non-coding RNA from Theobroma cacao (cacao), 1325 nucleotides. NCBI's taxonomy places the organism in Eukaryota, Viridiplantae, Streptophyta, Magnoliopsida, Malvales, Malvaceae. The record is from RefSeq and is a predicted model, not a curated record.